ACGCUCGACACCUACGGGAGACAGCAGUGGGGAAUAUUGGGCAAUGGGCGCAAGCCUGACCCAGCAACGCCGCGUGAAGGAAGAAGGCCCUCGGGUUGUAAACUUCUUUUGUCAGGGACGAAGCAAGUGACGGUACCUGACGAAUAAGCCACGGCUAACUACGUGUCAGCAGCCGCGGUAAUCUGAGCGGGCUGGCAAGGC
This 201-nucleotide ribosomal RNA is filed under the name uncultured bacterium. Its description in RNAcentral is "partial 16S ribosomal RNA". It matches the Rfam family "Bacterial small subunit ribosomal RNA", at positions 328 to 539 of the family's 1533-position model. The record is from RNAcentral.